RNAcentral lists this ribosomal RNA (506 nucleotides) under uncultured bacterium. RNAcentral describes it as "partial 16S ribosomal RNA". It matches the Rfam family "Bacterial small subunit ribosomal RNA", at positions 29 to 523 of the family's 1533-position model. The record is from RNAcentral.
AGUGAACGCUGGCGGUAGGCCUAACACAUGCAAGUCGAACGGCAGCACAGGAGAGCUUGCUCUCUGGGUGGCGAGUGGCGGACGGGUGAGGAAUACAUCGGAAUCUACUCUGUCGUGGGGGAUAACGUAGGGAAACUUACGCUAAUACCGCAUACGACCUACGGGUGAAAGCAGGGGAUCUUCGGACCUUGCGCGAUUGAAUGAGCCCAUGUCGGAUUCGCUAGUUGGCGGGGUAAAGGCCCACCAAGGCGACGAUCCGUAGCUGGUCUGAGGGGAUGAUCAGCCACACUGGAACUGAGACACGGUCCAGACUCCUACGGGAGGCAGCAGUGGGGAAUAUUGGACAAUGGGCGCAAGCCUGAUCCAGCCAUACCGCGUGGGUGAAGAAGGCCUUCGGGUUGUAAAGCCCUUUUGUUGGGAAAGAAAUCCAGCUGGCUAAUACCCGGUUGGGAUGACGGUACCCAAAGAAUAAGCACCGGCUAACUUCGUGCCAGCCGCCGCAGUAA